CCAUGCCGCGUGUGUGAAGAAGGUCUUCGGAUUGUAAAGCACUUUAAGUUGGGAGGAAGGGCAGUAAGUUAAUACCUUGCUGUUUUGACGUUACCAACAGAAUAAGCACCGGCUAACUUCGUGCCAGCAGCCGCGGUAAUACGAAGGGUGCAAGCGUUAAUCGGAAUUACUGGGCGUAAAGCGCGCGUAGGUGGUUCAGCAAGUUGGAUGUGAAAUCCCCGGGCUCAACCUGGGAACUGCAUCCAAAACUACUGAGCUAGAGUACGGUAGAGGGUGGUGGAAUUUCCUGUGUAGCGGUGAAAUGCGUAGAUAUAGGAAGGAACACCAGUGGCGAAGGCGACCACCUGGACUGAUACUGACACUGAGGUGCGAAAGCGUGGGGAGCAAACAGGAUUAGAUA
Molecule: ribosomal RNA, 400 nt
Filed under: Pseudomonas aeruginosa
Lineage: Bacteria; Pseudomonadati; Pseudomonadota; Gammaproteobacteria; Pseudomonadales; Pseudomonadaceae
Description: bacterial SSU rRNA
Rfam family: Bacterial small subunit ribosomal RNA
Source: RNAcentral